UGUUAGUGGAGACGGGUGAGUAAUGCGUAGGAAUCUACCUAGUAGUACGGAAUAGCCAUUAGAAAUGGUGGGUAAUACUGUAUAAUCCCCGAGGGGGAAAGAUUUAUCGCUAUUAGAUGAGCCUACGUUAGAUUAGCUAGUUGGUGAGGUAAUGGCUUACCAAGGCUAUGAUCUAUAGCUGGUCUGAGAGGACGAUCAGCCACACUGGAACUGAGAUACGGUCCAGACUCCUACGGGAGGCAGCAGUGGGGAAUAUUGGACAAUGGGCGAAAGCCUGAUCCAGCUAUGCCGCGUGAGUGAAGAAGGCCUUCGGGUUGUAAAACUCUUUCAAUAGGGAAGAUAAUGAGGUAACCUAUAAG
RNAcentral lists this ribosomal RNA (359 nucleotides) under Ehrlichia canis. RNAcentral's name for it is "bacterial SSU rRNA". It matches the Rfam family "Bacterial small subunit ribosomal RNA", at positions 90 to 464 of the family's 1533-position model. Lineage: Bacteria; Pseudomonadati; Pseudomonadota; Alphaproteobacteria; Rickettsiales; Anaplasmataceae. The record is from RNAcentral.